CAAAUGAAAAGAUUCAUUAAAGAUUGAGCAAAACAUUCGAUUAAAAUAGGUGUAUAUUUUAUUUUGUCAAAAGACUUCUAAAACUUUAUUUAAAGUCAUUUUCACAGCUUUGCAUCUAUCUCGGUGUCAUUGCUGACAGCUUCCUCCCUCCCCCAGUCUUCAGAAAAAAAUACAUCACGUUGGCUUUGCUAAUGGUGAAACAUUUAGUACACUUAGCCUGAGUUUCUGUUAGCAUUUUGAUGACAGCAGCUACCGGAGCUCUGCUGCCCUGUUUUCUUGCCAUAAUAAAAUGCUGGGGCUGGAGCUCUUUGCUGGAGGACUUUGCAAGGCAAAGUGAGGGGGUAUAGUCCAUCGGGGCGCUGCAACAUCCCGGCGUAGAGCAGAGAUCUGCUGCACGCAGCCUCCUGGUUUUGAAGCAAGGAGAACUGCCUGCUAGAGGAGAAGCUGCAGCAAGUUUUGUGCUGAGCACGUGGCAAGUAUAAUACCCAGAGAAAGAGCUUUUAUCCGAAUCAUCCCAGUAAUUAAAUACGUCCUGGUUGUGGGAGUCUAUGCUCCUGCCCAAACCCUCUUUAACCACUAGUGGCGUCAUUGUGGCAACUGCAAGGACAUCUGCUCCUCUCCGUGCCUCCGAAGCCAGUGGCAUUCAGUGACUUGGACGAGCACUGGGUGAGCCUUAUCAACAGUACUUGUUUUUCUCUGGGACCAGAAAUACAGAAGCAGAAUGAAGAAGCCUUUGUGUAAAUCUACAUCAGGUCCCCUGUGCAAAGAUUGCACAGACCACAAAGUGCUUGGAAGAGCAGCUGCUGGAGUUGAUGGAGUUUAUUCCAACUUCUGUGGAGUUUCAGGGAAAUUCAACCUCUCAGCUUGCAGGAGUCCAAGUGAAGAGUGGAAAUAAUGAUCGGUGCUGUGCUGUGGUCCUCUGUGCUGGCUUGACAGCCUCAGGAUGCCAGAAGUGUUAUCGAUCUACUUCUGCACACGUCCAGUGAGUCUGGAAACUUUCGGGGGCAUCUGAGGCUGGAAGGCUGCCAGUUCUCGUCAAUGGUUAUCAGCAACUGGGGGCAAGAUGUGGUUACUCCUUCAGCACAGUGU
Anas platyrhynchos (mallard) is the source of this 1089-nucleotide non-coding RNA. NCBI's taxonomy places the organism in Eukaryota, Metazoa, Chordata, Aves, Anseriformes, Anatidae. The record is from RefSeq and is a predicted model, not a curated record.